AGCAGUCGCCGCGGGAAUACGGAGGGUGCAAGCGUUAUCCGGAUUUAUUGGGUUUAAAGGGUCCGUAUGCGGAUCUGUAAGUCAGUGGUGAAAUCUCACAGCUUAACUGUGAAACUGCCAUUGAUACUGCAGGUCUUGAGUAAAUUUGAAGUGGCUGGAAUAAGUAGUGUAGCGGUGAAAUGCAUAGAUAUUACUUAGAACACCAAUUGCGAAGGCAGGUCACUAAGAUUUAACUGACGCUGAUGGACGAAAGCGUGGGGAGCGAACAGGAUUAGAUACCCCCGUAGUCCCUGUCUCUUAUAC
This 303-nucleotide ribosomal RNA is filed under the name uncultured bacterium. RNAcentral describes it as "partial 16S ribosomal RNA". It matches the Rfam family "Bacterial small subunit ribosomal RNA", at positions 507 to 807 of the family's 1533-position model. The record is from RNAcentral.